UCUGUGUCAAGCAGGUUUAGAUUUCAAGCUUAUUCAGUAGUUUUUCGAUCAACCCUAAAAGCACAAUUAAAAAUCUCAUAAAAUUUAUCAGAAAAGGGAGGAUAUAUGCAAAGUUGAAAGCAAAUCGUGUAAAGAGUUGAAGCGAAUGAGAUGGUAGAUUGUAAAAAUUAUCAACAUUUCAUCCUACGAAACCAGAUGGAAUGGGCUUAAAACAGUUGAAUCUGAAGGGAAAAAUUAUAUCUGCUUCAACAGUAUGGAGUACAUACAAUCCUGAACUUUCAAAUAAGAAUUCAUAAUCCUGUGAGUGUUUCCCGUGCGUACUCUUUUUCUUCUGCUUAUCACUUAUGUUCUCUACCAAUGUAUUAAUUUUCUUCUUAUCAUAGGUUUACAUUCAUAACAAAGCUAUGCACAAACUCAGUUUAGCCUCAAAUUCCUUUUUCUUUUAAGAAAAUAGUUACCGGCUUUGACCCAAAAUGUUAAAAUUUCGGACACAACUCUUGUAGCAACACCCAACUAGUAUAAAAACCAUGGUAGACUAACCCAAAUGAAGCGUAGGCAUCCUUUAAUUAGCAUAUAAAAAGAGGCCCAAUCUAAGCCCAGUAACUUAAGUUCCAGGCACAGAAUAGGUGUUGCCUUUUUAUAAUAGAAUGGGGACACUGGAAAAAUACGAUACCAUUGACUUAAAAAAAAAAAAAACAAUUUGAUUUAGGUAAUAAGAUAAGCUAUAAAAGGAAGAAAAUGGAAAAGAAGCCAAUAGCAGUAUCCCUGAAAAGAAAGAUGCCGCCGUUGUUGGAAACAAAAACUCAGCCCAUGUCCAUGUUCUAACAGAACCUGUUAUACUUUGUGCGUCGUCGUUUGUUAUGUUCUUACUCUCUUACAUACUUUCUCCUAAUCUUUAAUAUAAUUUGUUAAUACAAACUCGAAACUUUUGGUUUCUAGAUAAAGAAAAACUGAAGACUUGUUAGUUAUAAGAAUCACGGGAUAGCUUUUUAAUUGGAGUAAUAAAGCGGUUAUGAUAGGCUAUUUCAACUUGGCCUGCAUGCCAUUUAGGUUGAUUAUUACCAUUUGACCUGUCAUGUAAGUUACAAGUAAAUUCCUCCAUAUCUAAGGUUUUGAAUAAUUUAAUAUACUUGACCUUUCUUUUUCACUGUAAACCCUCUUGUC
Molecule: long non-coding RNA, 1164 nt
Organism: Ricinus communis (castor bean)
Lineage: Eukaryota; Viridiplantae; Streptophyta; Magnoliopsida; Malpighiales; Euphorbiaceae
Exons: 3
Source: RefSeq, a predicted model, not a curated record